RNAcentral lists this ribosomal RNA (468 nucleotides) under uncultured bacterium. Its description in RNAcentral is "partial 16S ribosomal RNA". It matches the Rfam family "Bacterial small subunit ribosomal RNA", at positions 28 to 507 of the family's 1533-position model. The record is from RNAcentral.
GACGAACGCUGGCGGCGUGCUUAACACAUGCAAGUCGAACGGAAAGGCCCUGCUUUUGUGGGGUGCUCGAGUGGCGAACGGGUGAGUAACACGUGAGUAACCUGCCCUUGACUUUGUGAUAACUUCAGGAAACUGGGGCUAAUACCGGAUAGGAGCUCCUGCUGCAUAGUGGGGGUUGGAAAGUUUCGGCGGUUGGGGAUGGACUCGCGGCUUAUCAGCUUGUUGGUGGGGUAGUGGCUUACCAAGGCUUUGACGGGUAGCCGGCCUGAGAGGGUGACCGGCCACAUUGGGACUGAGAUACGGCCCAGACUCCUACGGGAGGCAGCAGUGGGGAAUAUUGCACAAUGGGCGGAAGCCUGAUGCAGCAACGCCGCGUGCGGGAUGACGGCCUUCGGGUUGUAAACCGCUUUCGCCUGUGACGAAGAGUGAGUGACGGUAAUGGGUAAAGAAGCACCGGCUAACUACGUG